CAGAUUGAACGCUGGCGGCAUGCCUAACACAUGCAAGUCGAACGGGAGUAGCAAUACUCUAGUGGCGGACGGGUGAGGAAUACGUAGGAAUUUGCCCUUAAGUGGGGGAUAACCCGGGGAAACCCGGAUUAAUACCGCAUGACCUCGAAAGAGCAAAGUGGGGGAUCGCAAGACCUCACGCUUUUGGAGAAGCCUACGUCGGAUUAGCUAGUUGGUGAGGUAAUGGCUCACCAAGGCGACGAUCCGUAACUGGUCUGAGAGGAUGAUCAGUCACACCGGAACUGAGACACGGUCCGGACUCCUACGGGAGGCAGCAGUGGGGAAUAUUGGACAAUGGGCGCAAGCCUGAUCCAGCAAUGCCGCGUGUGUGAAGAAGGCCUUCGGUUGUAAGACGA
Molecule: ribosomal RNA, 395 nt
Filed under: uncultured soil bacterium
Lineage: Bacteria
Description: bacterial SSU rRNA
Rfam family: Bacterial small subunit ribosomal RNA
Source: RNAcentral